RNAcentral lists this long non-coding RNA (1916 nucleotides) under Actinidia chinensis (golden kiwifruit). Its description in RNAcentral is "long non-coding RNA (ACHI_LNC001171)". The record is from RNAcentral. Lineage: Eukaryota; Viridiplantae; Streptophyta; Magnoliopsida; Ericales; Actinidiaceae.
UAUAUGUACAUACAUGUUAUGUAUGUAUGUGUGUGUGUAUAUAUAUAUAUAUAUAUAUAUAAAUUAGUUUUAAAAAAAAAAGAAAGAAGAAAGGAGAGAAAAACAGAGAGAGAAACCAAGAAGGAAGAAAGAAGAAUAGAAAAGAGAUGAAACAGAAAUGAGAAAGAUGACGCAAGGAGGGUUCAAAAGAUGUAGAAGGUAAUUUAUUUGUUGAUGUGUAUUUUGUUAAGAUUUGAAAAGUUAUACUGCUUUUCUUUGUGUUAAAAUCAUGAAAACACAUAGUAUAUAUAUGCAUAUGUAUAUCUAUAGAAAUUGUUAUGAUUAAAUUGAUUCCUAAUAUUUAACUAUUAAUCGUAUAUGUUUGCACAGAUUAUGCGAUAAUGCCGUGCGAUGAUGUUUUGAGAGUGGUGGAUUUAUAGUUGAGAUUAGAGAAAGGAGGAAAAAUUUUAGAAACUGGAAUUCGCAGCUUUUAUUGUUCUUCAAUGGCUGCCCCGACUUAAAGAUUAUCAAGUGUGGUUGAGACCGUCAAACUAUCGUACACCCUAUUUUAAAAUUGGUCAAUCAGAUGAGUUUUUGGUCAUGUGAAUAGACAUUUUCUAUAUUUUUCAGCAUUCUGAAUUCGAUUUUGGGGUCAGAUUUGACAGAUUCUGACUAUAGAAUGCUGAUUUGUGAAGUAGUGUAGAAAAAGUGUUUAGUGGCUACCUAAUUGUUAAUAACGGUGGAAUUAUCUUAAUAGGUGUCUUGGUUACGUGAAUGGAGCGGGUGCAAGUAAGCUUGGAAGUGAAAUUGGAGGUUGAUAAGGUGAGAGUAUCUAACUUUUAUAAUGACUUGAAAUAUAAUAUUUUUCAUACUUAUUCACUUUAUGAAAAAUGAUUGAAAAUAUGGUUGAUUAAGUUGGAUCAAAAUAUUAUUGAAGAAAAUAUUAUGUUUAUAUCCAUGUAUGGAUCAAAUGUUAUUUUUAUAUCUUAUGUGUCAGUGUACUAGUUUGUGAGCUUGGUUGUGUGCUUGCCUACUAGUUAACAAGUUUGGUUGUUGUGCUUGCGUUGAUUAUUUGGCAUUUGCUUGUUUGUGUUCCUGGUGAGCUUGGUUUUUGCGUACCUUUUUGGUGAUAACUAAUCUAACAUGCUGACACCUACUACCUUGGUGAAUAAAGAAUGGCCUCCUCACGCGCCACUAUAAUGUGAGUCGUGAUUGAGGUAACCGGUACCCGUCAUAACUCCCGAGUUGUGAGGUAACGCUCACUCUGGCAUAUUUGGUUUACAAUUUUCUUUUGAGAAUAUAAUUGUACUUUUGAAUUAUUCCCCCGCUUGGGAAGAAUUGGUUAGAGCGUUUUUCCAUGGUUGCAGGAAAUUAUUAAAAUUUUGGUGAAUAUUUUAAUUGAACGGUUGCAUUCUUUCGCGACAACUUUGAUCAUAAAAUGCUUGUUUAAAAACAAUAGGCUGAAAUUUUUAUUGAAUAUUGUUUUUUGAAAUUUUUGUUAAAUUUCUUUAAAGUUGGUUGUUUAAAAGGUUGAUCCAUUUUAAAUUGUUGCAAAGCAUAUUUGUUUACAUUAUGAUACUAAGUAUACUCUCUUAUAACCUUUUUGGUUGCAGAUAUUGAUUCAAGAUAGAAGUCGGUCCAAUAUAGUACAAGGUUGAGAGUUUUUAAUAUUUUUGGAUUGUGAUAUUUAUCGUUGGUUGUGAGAUGUUGAGAUUAUUUUUUUAUGGAUGGUUGUAAGGAAAUUUUUAUAUUCCCAGUUUAUGUAGAGUGAGGUUGAAAUAUUAUUAUGUGGAUUGGGGUAUAUUUUUAGUUGAGUAGAAUUUUCUUAUAAUAGUUUGACAGGUUUUUAUUUAUGAGAUAGUAACAAGUUACAGUUGAUCACGUUACUCUGUGUGGGUUCGGGUCUGAUGAGUGCAAAAUAUACGUAUAUUUUUAUU